RNAcentral lists this ribosomal RNA (482 nucleotides) under uncultured bacterium. Its description in RNAcentral is "bacterial SSU rRNA". It matches the Rfam family "Bacterial small subunit ribosomal RNA", at positions 15 to 518 of the family's 1533-position model. The record is from RNAcentral.
GAUUAUGGCUCAGGACGAACGCUGGCGGCAUGCCUAACACAUGCAAGUCGAACGGGGGUAGCAAUACCCUAGUGGCGAACGGGUGAGUAACACAUAAGCAAUCUGCCCUUCACAGGGGGAUAACAGCGGGAAACUGCUGCUAAUACCGCAUAAGACCACGGUACCGCAUGGUACAGGGGUAAAAACGAAUCAGUGGUGAAGGAUGAGCUUAUGUCCCAUUAGCUAGUUGGUGAGAUAACAGCCCACCAAGGCGACGAUGGGUAGCCGACCUGAGAGGGUGAUCGGCCACACUGGAACUGAGACACGGUCCAGACUCCUACGGGAGGCAGCAGUGGGGAAUAUUGGGCAAUGGAGGAAACUCCUUACCCAGCAAUGCCGCGUGAGUGAAGAAGGUCUUCGGAUUGUAAAGCUCUUUGAUUGGGGACGAAGAAAGUGACGGUACCCAAAGAACAAGCCCCGGCUAACUACGUGCCAGCAGCUGC